RNAcentral lists this unclassified non-coding RNA (239 nucleotides) under Hevea brasiliensis (rubber tree). Lineage: Eukaryota; Viridiplantae; Streptophyta; Magnoliopsida; Malpighiales; Euphorbiaceae. The record is from RNAcentral.
AGAAUAUCAAUGUCAUCAAGUGCCAAGAAGUCAAGAAGAAACAUCAUUCAAAAGAAACGUGAGAAGUUUAAACCAAGAAGUUUCUUUAUCAAAUUAAUAGAGUGAGAAGGCAUUGCCAUGCAUGGGUUCUCUCUAUGCAGACGAGAAUUUAAGGGUCUCUGUUCUUGUCCCCGAACCAACUUUUGAUCCACUGAAUGAAAUCCUCACCAUCAAAUGUCCUAUUUUAAGUUUUCUGUUGA